AGAGUAGUGGGAGCAACCAGGGAGGCGCUGAGCCAAGUAAUCGACUGGAGCAAGAUGUUGUCCCUGCCAGUGGUGGCAACGAGGUUCCACUGCAGGAGGUACAAGUGGAGUUUGAGGAUGAGCUCCCUAUCUCCUAGGUCGUGUCGAGAAAACGUAGGCACGAGGAAGAAAACACCACCAAUCAACAGGAGGGUCGGAGUGGUGGUCGUGAUGGUCAGGGCGACGGGUCUUAGUGACUCUCUAAGUUGCCUAGUCUAGAGAUAACCGGUGCGGGCACCGGAGUUAGGACCGGUACCAUGGCUUAGGCAGCAAUGGUGGGUCAUCGGACAACUUGCUCAGGCAUCGUCAGAAGGGGAAGAUGGCAGUUGCAACAAAUGGGGAACCAUAUGUUCCUCAGUAUGGGUUGUCAAUCGAGCAAUCCAUUUUCGAUGAUCUCGAGUAUGCUCGGAUUGUCGUUUUGGAGGGUUCGUUACCCAAAGACAAGGUGGCGUACAAGGAGGCAAGAUUUUGCAAACUCCUUGGCCAAGCAUUUACCUAUGUGGCAGAGGAUUGUGAGAAGAGGUUUAAUGAAGGCUAGGCACAGGCAUCUGAACUUAGGGAGACAUUGGAUGUUGUGGAGAAGGAGAAGUAGAAGUUAGAGCAGUAACUUGGCCAACGGGAUGCAAAGAUCAGGGGUUACGAAGUCGGAAUGAAGAGUUACAGCAUCAGAAACUUGCUGCUAUGACCAAGGUUGUGGCUGCGGAGGAGGUAGUGAAGAAGAGGGAUCUUAAUCUUCAUCGACUCCCAACGAGCUUGAUACUGAGGUGAAGAGAGCAUGGUUCUGUCUGCUGCUCAAGAGAAUGAGAGGCAGCAGUUGGCCUCACUUAAGGUGCGGUUAGUGGAGGGUGAGAGCAGCACUAUAAGGAGGUACAAGGAGUAUGAGCAGUAUAGGACAGAGGUGGCUCUCGCGGGUGUUGCGGUUGUAUCUCCAGGGCAUGUUAAUGGUUCGUAUGGAGGCAGAACGAGAAAGCCCUAGGAUCAACUUGAGCGUCCUUUUUGCUGAGUGCGAAAAAGCCAAGCUCUUGAAGGUCGAGGUGCCUCCGCGAUCGUCAGGCGACACCAGGCCAAAUGAAGGAGAAAUUUCACCACCAUCUGACCAUCUGACCCUCAGAACAUCAUACCUACAUCGUACUCUGCUCAUGUGCUUCCUUCCUCAGAGCCUAAUGUUUUGAUGCUGUCUUCCCUUGAAGAUGCCCCUGUUGCUGUUUGUGGAAUCGAGGCUACUUCCCCUGCUGGUCCUAUGUCUGAGCUUGUUCCUGGCACCACUGUUUCUCUCCAAGAUUGUCCUGCGGUGGAUGCUGUACCUACCGUUGCGGACUGAUUUUUUCUUUGUUUUUGUUUCCCUGCUUGUAAGACUCAUGCUUUCUUGUAAAUGAGUGAAUCAUUUUGUUAAAUGGAUGAAUCAUUU
This is a long non-coding RNA of Macadamia integrifolia, 1447 nucleotides long. RefSeq lists it as uncharacterized. NCBI's taxonomy places the organism in Eukaryota, Viridiplantae, Streptophyta, Magnoliopsida, Proteales, Proteaceae. The record is from RefSeq and is a predicted model, not a curated record. The transcript has 2 exons.